Molecule: ribosomal RNA, 433 nt
Filed under: uncultured bacterium
Lineage: Bacteria
Description: partial 16S ribosomal RNA
Rfam family: Bacterial small subunit ribosomal RNA
Source: RNAcentral
AACGAACGCUGGCGGCAUGCCUAACACAUGCAAGUCGAACGAGACCUUCGGGUCUAGUGGCGCACGGGUGCGUAACGCGUGGGAAUCUGCCCUUGGGUUCGGAAUAACAGUUGGAAACGACUGCUAAUACCGGAUGAUGACGUAAGUCCAAAGAUUUAUCGCCCAAGGAUGAGCCCGCGUAGGAUUAGCUAGUUGGUGAGGUAAAGGCUCACCAAGGCGACGAUCCUUAGCUGGUCUGAGAGGAUGAUCAGCCACACUGGGACUGAGACACGGCCCAGACUGCGACGGGAGGGAGCAGUAGGGAAUAUUGGGCAAUGGGCGAAAGCCUGGUCCAGCAAUGCCGGGUGAGUGAUGAAGGCCUUAGUGUUGUAAAGCUCUUUUACCCGAGAUGAUAAUGACAGUACCGGGAGAAUAAGCUCCGGCUAACUCCGUG